GACGAACGCUGGCGGCGUGCUUAACACAUGCAAGUCGAGCGGUAAGGCCCUUUCGGGGGUACACGAGCGGCGAACGGGUGAGUAACACGUGGGUGACCUGCCCUCAGCUCUGGGAUAAGCCUGGGAAACCGGGUCUAAUACCGGAUAUGACUCCAUGACGCAUGUUGUGGGGUGGAAAGCCUUGUGCGGCUGAGGAUGGGCCCGCGGCCUAUCAGCUUUGUUGGUGGGGGUGAUGGCCUACCAAGGCGACGACGGGUAGCCGGCCUGAGAGGGCGACCGGCCACACUGGGACUGAGACACGGCCCAGACUCCUACGGGAGGCAGCAGGUGGGGAAUCUUGCGCAAUGGGCGAAAGCCUGACGCAGCGACGCCGCGUGAGGGAUGACGGCC
RNAcentral lists this ribosomal RNA (390 nucleotides) under uncultured bacterium. RNAcentral's name for it is "bacterial SSU rRNA". It matches the Rfam family "Bacterial small subunit ribosomal RNA", at positions 28 to 416 of the family's 1533-position model. The record is from RNAcentral.